RNAcentral lists this ribosomal RNA (301 nucleotides) under uncultured bacterium. Its description in RNAcentral is "partial 16S ribosomal RNA". It matches the Rfam family "Bacterial small subunit ribosomal RNA", at positions 509 to 807 of the family's 1533-position model. The record is from RNAcentral.
CAGCCGCCGCGGGAAUAAAGAGGAUGCAAGCGUUAUCCGGAAUGAUUGGGAAUAAAGUGUCUGUAGGUGGCUUUUCAAGUCCGCCGUCAAAUCCCCGAGCUCAACCCUGGACAAGCAGUGGAAACUACCAAGCUGGAGUACGGUAGGGGUAGAGGGAAUUUCUGGUGGAGCGGUGAAAUGCGUUGAGAUCGGAAAGAACACCAACGACGAAAGCACUUUGCUGGGCCGACACUGACACUGAGAGGCGAAAGCUAGGGGAGCAAAUGGGAUUAGAUACCCCUGUAGUCCCUGUCUCUUAUAC